UUCCCCCUGGCCACCUACGCCCCUGUCAUCUCUGCAGAGAAGGCCUAUCACGAGCAGCUGUCCGUGGCUGAGAUCACCAACUCCUGCUUUGAGCCGGCCAACCAGAUGGUGAAGUGCGACCCUCGCCCCGGCAAGUACAUGGCCUGCUGCCAAGGAUGUCACCGCCGCCAGCGCCACCAUCAAUACCAAGCGCAGCAUCCAGUUUGUGGACUGGUGCCCCACGGGCUUCAAGGUGGGCAUCAACUACCAGCCACCCACAGUGGUGCCGGGGGGGGACCUGGCCAAGGUGCAGCGCGCCGUCUGCAUGCUGAGCAACACCACGGCCAUCGCCGAGGCCUGGGCCCGCCUGGACCACAAGUUCGACCUGAUGUACGCCAAGCGAGCCUUCGUGCACUGGUACGUGGGCGAGGGCAUGGAGGAGGGGGAGUUCUCUGAGGCGCGGGAAGACAUGGCCGCUCUGGAGAAGGAUUACGAGGAGGUGGGCCUGGACUCCUACGAGGAUGAAGAGGAGGGCGAGGAGUAGA
Eurypyga helias (sunbittern) is the source of this 524-nucleotide RNA transcript. It is a transcript of the gene named tubulin alpha-4A chain-like, with no coding region annotated. The transcript has a single exon. NCBI's taxonomy places the organism in Eukaryota, Metazoa, Chordata, Aves, Eurypygiformes, Eurypygidae. The record is from RefSeq and is a predicted model, not a curated record.